RNAcentral lists this transfer RNA (72 nucleotides) under Gammaproteobacteria bacterium. RNAcentral describes it as "tRNA-Gly". It matches the Rfam family "tRNA". From Rfam's summary of the family: Transfer RNA (tRNA) molecules are approximately 80 nucleotides in length. Their secondary structure includes four short double-helical elements and three loops (D, anti-codon, and T loops). Lineage: Bacteria; Pseudomonadati; Pseudomonadota; Gammaproteobacteria. The record is from RNAcentral.
GCAUGAUUAGUUCAGUUGGUAGAAUAUCUGACUUCCAAUCAGAUGACAUGGGUUCGAGUCCCAUAUCAUGCU